Molecule: long non-coding RNA, 1791 nt
Filed under: Canis lupus familiaris (dog)
Lineage: Eukaryota; Metazoa; Chordata; Mammalia; Carnivora; Canidae
Description: lncRNA (ENSCAFG00000052764.1)
Source: RNAcentral
AAACAAGACAAUAGCUCCUUUACAGGUGGAGAAGAGAAGGCAUGGCACAUAGUAAAGAAACAAUGUUAGAAUUGACAACAUGUAGGCACCUGGGUGGCUCAGUCAGUUAAGUGUCUCCCUUAGGCUCAGGCCAUGAUCCCAGGAUGCUGGGAUCGAGCCUCAUGAUGGGCUCCCUACUCAGUGGGGAGCCUGCUUCUCCUCCCCCCUCUGCCCUUUCCCCUGCUUGCGCACACUCUCUGUCAAAUAAAUAAAAUCUUAAAAAAAAAAAAAAAAAAAAAGAAUGGACAAAAUGCAAUAGUAGUUAAAAUAUAUAUUUUUCUGAUUUUAACAUCCCUGAAAUCAGGAUGCAUCCUACACUUGAUAACGACAACAAAUUACUAUGUUGGUUUAAUUGGCAGUAUUUUUUCUUUCUUUGCAGUACUUGAUACAUCUUAAUGGUCUCAGUAUCAGUGAAAAUAUGGUGUUAUCUUACUGAAUCUUAGAGAAUUCGGUUUAAAAAAUGUUGACAGGCACAUGCCACAACUUGCUCUACAACUGUUGGCAAAUUACUUCACCUCUCCUAUCAGCUGCCUCCUUUACAAAAAUAGGGACACACAGUAGGCAUGCAAAUUCAGUUCUCUCCUCCCUCAGCCAGGCAGAGCUGCCUACUUUCUCUGUCACUUCUUCCUUCUUUCACAAAGUGGGGUCACAAAAUCAAUGAAUGGGAAUAGACGGAGGGAAAAUUUAAAUGACUACUUAACAGUGACACUGCCAGGAAACAGCAGCUUGUUUAGGCUCACACAAAACACAAAAAGACAUCAAGAAGAGGGAACCCAUAUUUUGCUUUAUGGAUUCUAAUUCUGAUAUGAUCUUUGGACAAAGCCUUGAGGGGCAGAGCUUCAGGGUUUGAGACUAGGCAGGGAGUACUUAAGUUUCAAAAACCUGAGCAAAACAUUUCCACUACCACACCACCUCUAUCCCCCUAUUCACAUGGUACAGAACUCUGCAUAUGUGCAGGCAAGAAAGUUUUUCGGUCCCAACUCUCAGGCUGCUGUUCCUGAAACAAAACACGGUCUGAAUCUGUUUCAUUCUUAGUGGCCAGAGAGCCCUAGCAGCUUCUGAUGCAUCCUUACCCUCAUUCUUAGCUUGGGGCAGGGAGUGGGAAGUGAUAGGAGAGAAAGCAAGAGGGACAAACACCAAGGCUUCUUGAAUAGCUGCCAUAUUCCUAGGUAAGAGGGGGUGAGAGUGUUCCCUCUGCAGUGACAGUCAUUGCCAGGAGCACCCUGGAGGAAGAUGGAGAGAGCAAAGGAUGUUGAUGGCAGGGGAAAUGGCAUGUGGGGCGCAGCCUCGAAAGCCUUUGAAGAACUACAUGUGGCUGGCAUGGCAGCUAGAAUGGCUAGCCUCAUUUCCACUUGAGAGCCUGCAGUAUAAGCACAGGGUAAAGAUGUGAUUCAGAGAUACCCACAUGUGGGAUCAAAUUCUAGCCCCAUCGCUUACCACUAGCCUUUAGUGGUGCCAAAAUAACCCAGUCAGCUAGUCCUUAUUAUUGAGUAGCUACUACAUGCCAAAGAUUAUAUUAAUCACCUUUAAGUAAUACCUACUUCAAAAGGUAGUAGAUGGGGAUCCCUGGGUGGCGCAGCGGUUUGGCGCCUGCCUUUGGCCCAGGGCGCGAUCCUGGAGACCCAGGAUCGAGUCCCACAUCGGGCUCCCGGUGCAUGGAGCCUGCUUCUCCCUCUGCCUGUGUCUCUGCCUCUCUCUCUCUCACUGUGUGCCUAUCAUAAAUAAAUUUAAAAAAAUUAAAAAAAAAAAAAA